This is a long non-coding RNA of Mytilus californianus (California mussel), 4211 nucleotides long. RefSeq lists it as uncharacterized. The transcript is spliced from 2 exons. Lineage: Eukaryota; Metazoa; Mollusca; Bivalvia; Mytilida; Mytilidae. The record is from RefSeq and is a predicted model, not a curated record.
ACGUGGUUUCCGGUUAACACCGAAAGCUCGAAUACAGGUCUACCGGCUAACAUAUUUUAGCGAAAUUUGACCAGAUUAUUGCAAGAAUGGUUGACUACGGGUCAGGUCCUAUUAAAGAAAGUAUAGACAAUAGUGUAUUUAUAGUUCCUGGCAUUAUCAUUGGCGCUUUAUUUGCAUUUUUUGCCUAUAAGUUGAUAAAAAGUCUCAGAGACAAAGAAAGAAUGAAACAAGAAAAAAAGGAAUUAAAGGAAAAACGGAAAGAGAAAGAUCAAGCCAAAAGAACAAAAAAGAAAUGAGUUGCCUCCCCUUUUAGGAUAUUUAAAUUAAUUUCAUUGGAUGGAAAUAUCAUAUAUGAUUAAAUGGAUGGACAAAUGUGAAAAAAAGCAACUAAGUGCAAUUUGACUGUGAAGAAUUUUAUAAUUGAAGUCAGAAAAAUGAUUGAAUUUUGUAGAAAUUUAAAUUUUUAUUGAUUUUUAUGACAGAUGUAAAGAUGGUUAAAGAAAUUGACAUUAUUAAGAUAAUUUUGUGUAUAAAUGAUAGUAUAUAGAAUUAGUACAUUUGUUAGUAUGUAUGAUGUAACUUAACUAUUCUGGUUUAUAAAGAUAAAACUAAAAAAGAAUUAGCAUAACAUUAUUCUGGUCUUUGGUCAGUUAUAAGUCAGAAUUAUUCCAACUGCUUAGUCAGGUUAUACAUGUAUAUAAAAGGAAAGAAACAAUUUAUUUUGAUAAAGCAUUGUAAUAGUAAAAUUAAAAUGAUUUAAGCCAGAAAUAAUAAAUAUAUUGAUGUCAAAAUUGUUGCAGUCAAAUAAAAAUAAUUUUAUUUGGAAUUGUUAUGGAAAAUUAAAAGGAGCAGAAUUAAUUAACACCUGAUUUAAAGCUAGAUAUAAACUUUGCUUAUGAAAAAGCUAUCACUGUCAGAUUAAUGACCAGUGUUAGUUUAUAGUAAUGACAAAGUUGUUAUGGUCAGAGUAAAGUCCAGAAUAAAUACAGUAUUGUUGAUAAUUAGUUUAUUAUAAUGUUUCUGCUGGUGAAUAGGUAACGCCAAAAGAUGCUUGUAAACUUUGUUUUAAGAUGACAUGGAGUCACUUUUUGUCUUUUUACAACAAUAAAUGUUUCUGAAAUUUAAUUUUACUGUCAGUCAUUUAAUUUAUUUUUUAUCAUGUGUUGAUUUAACCAUAAACAUGAUAAAGUUGCUAAACAUAAAUUUCAAAGUAUUAUAUAUGGAUACAAGAGUAGGUGCAGUGUUUUUCAUUUUCAACAUUAUUUUCAAAGUAUUAUAAAUGGAUACAAGAGUAAUAACAGUGUUUUUCAUUUUAAACAUUAUUUUCGAAGUUAUUAUAAACAUGAUAAAUGGAUACAAGAGUAGGUGCAGUGUUUUUCAUUUUAAUCAUUUGAAUGGAAUGAGAAUAAUAUUUUGAAGUAUUUACCAAAAGUUUGAUGAUCAUAGCUUAAAUUAAGAAAGCCUACUGAUCUAAUUGUGAUUGAAGUAUUUACCAAAAGUUUGAUGAUCAUAGCUUAAGAAAGCAUACUGAUCUAAUUGUGAUUGAAGUAUUUACCAAAAGUUUGAUGAUCAUAGCUUAAGAAAACAUACUGAUCUAAUUGUGAUUGAAGUAUUUCAUGUUCAUUAUUUGUUGUAUUACAAACUGAAAUACUCAGCAAAGAAUGGUCUAUUCCAGCAUUGACUUUUAUUUUAUAUUGACAUUGAUCAAUAGAUAGUUGUCAUUUGACAUAAUUUGAGUUAGAGUUAUCUCCCUUUGUCACCAUGGUGUAGGGCAAGGUACAGUUCCUUCACGAGUCAGCACAAUUUAGAUUAUAAUACUGACGAGUAGGCUUUAGAAAAAGUUAUUUUCAUUUGUUUUAUUUGUGUUCAAUUCAUCACUAAGGAAUUUUUAUCAGUCUUGCUUGAAUCACAUGUUCAAAUUUGGUUGGUAAAAGAAAAAAAAUAAUCAGUUGUCCUACAACAUGGUCGCCAAAGUGAAAUAACACCAAGUUAAAUUAUGUCAAUGGAAAUACAUCUAUAUCAACCUUUAAUUUUGAUUGGUCUGUAUGUAAUUAUAAAAAUAAGAUGUAGUUCAUUUAUCAUUUUAUUAAAUAGCGAAACCAUAGCAACUAAGUUAUCUCCUUUUUAUUCAUUAAUUUAUUGAAAGAAAAUUUUGAAAUGAUCAGUUCCUGAAUUAUUAUGUAGUUUUAUUUGACCAUUGUAUUUUUAAAUGAUCAGUUUCCAUGGUUACUGAAUUAUUAUAUACAGUUUUAUAUGACCAAUGUUUUUUAAAGAUAUUACUGCCAUAGGUAUUUGCCAUAUAUAUUUGCCAUUGAAUUUAAUGUAAAGAAUUAUCAUUUGUGAGUUGUCUCCAAAAUAAUCACCAGCUGAAAAGAGAAAUUGAUAUUUAACAGAGUUGUCUCCCAUUUUUAAGACAACAUUGAAUUGCCUCCCUUACAUCUACUUAAUUAUAUUUCCCACCAUUUGGUUAUUGGAGGAUAGUAAUGGAAAUUGUUUUUCAAUUCAACUCUUCAGAAUUUUUACAAACUAGCACAUCAAAACAGAAAAAUAUCAUAAUCAAGGGAAAUUAGACCAAUGAGUGAUAUAAUUUCAUUUUUAGUACUACCUUGAAAUUACCCAUGGUCCUUUAAGAUUCUGUAAUGGAUAGUCCAAGUACUAGAUCAAAUUCUUUAAAUUUUAUAGUGGUUCUGGCGCAGUAAAAAUGGUGCUGUUAAUGUUACUCUAGGUUAAAAAAGUGGUUAUGACAAACCAUGAUUAAAACUUGCAGCCUAUUUUUAUGGUUCAGUUGUAAAAUAGUGUAUAAUGCCAACUAUAGUAUUAGUAAUGAUCUCACAGGAAAAUGUUUUUUGACUAAUUAAUUUUACAUUCCAAUUCAAACCACCGUAGAAAUUUACUUGCAUAAACUAUUAUUUAAGAAUAAAGACACAACGGCUGACAGAAUUCUAAAGCUAGGGUGUUACAUCACAAACCUAAAUGAUCAUAUGAUUAAAUGAUCACAUGACCAAAUGAUCACAUGAUUAAAUGAUCACAUGACCAAAUGAUCACAUGAUUAAAUGAUCACAUGACCAAAUGAUCACAUGAGAAUCUCAUAAAUAAAAACAGCACUGCUGAAAGAAUACUUAAGAUUGCAUGAAAAUCUCUGUUCCGGUUUCAGUCUAAAUUAACACUUUAAAAGCAAGAAAUAGUUCCAGUUGAAAUUUGUAUUUUCAUAUUUUUUUGCAAUCGGAAACCUGCUGGCAAUAUUUUAGUAUAUAUAUAGUAAAGCUAAAUGAAAAUGAAUAACAGUUUGUUUCAAAAAAAGAAUAAAAUGAGGGAAAAAAUGUAGAUUCAAACUUUUUUCUCAGAAAAAUGGCCAGCUGGUCAACCCUGCAUAUAACUUUUAAUUCUCAAGCCUCAAUAAAUGAGUCCUAAGUAACAUGCUAAGUGGAUUUUAAUCCACUUUUUUAUGUGCCACAUAUUUACUUUGGCCAUUAUAAGACACACAGGAAUUUAAUUACUUUUGCCACUAUGUAUACCACACAGGAAAUUAAUUAGUUUGGUCGCUAUGUAUGCCAGACAGGAAUUAAAUUAUUUCGGCCUCUGUAUAUCUCACACAGGAAUUCAAUUACUUUAGCCCCUGCAUGCCACUUAAGAAUUCAAUUACUUUGGCCAUUGUAUGCCACACAGGAAUUCAGUUGCUUUGGCCCCCUGUAGGCCACACAGAAAUUCAAUAACUCUGGCCAUUGUAUGCCACACAGAAAUUCAAUUGCUUUGGCCGCUAUGUAUGCCACACAGGAAUUCAAUUACUUUGGUCCCUUCAUGCCCCACAGGAAUUUGAUUAUUUGGCCCCGGUAUGCUGCACAUCAAUUCAAUUACUUUGGCAGCAGUAAGCCCCAUAGAAAUUUGAUUAUUUUUGCCAUCUGUAUGCCACACAGGAAAUCAAUUAAGCUGCGGUAAGCCACCCAGGAAUUCAAUUACUUAAGCUGCAGUAAACCACACAAGAAUUCAAUUAAUUUUGUGGCUGUAUGCCACACAGGAACUCAUUUGCUUCAUGUACAAUACCAGUAAUGUUUUAGUGAAGGUGAAUAAUCGUGUAUUGUUUAAGUCAGAUCAGUUAUAUUUUAGUCAGAUGGUAUACAGAUUCAGAAUGUUUUAAUAAUUGUAUGUUGCAUAUUUAUAAAUGUAUCACAAUGAUCACCAUUUAUUACAAUAAAACUGUUCAGUUUGGUGAA